This 292-nucleotide ribosomal RNA is filed under the name uncultured bacterium. RNAcentral describes it as "partial 16S ribosomal RNA". It matches the Rfam family "Archaeal small subunit ribosomal RNA", at positions 455 to 747 of the family's 1478-position model. The record is from RNAcentral.
GUGCCAGCCGCCGCGGUAAUACCGGCAGCUCAAGUGAUGUCCCAUAUUAUUGGGCCUAAAGCGUCCGUAGCUGGCCGACCAAGUCUCCCGGGAAAUCCACCCGCCCAACGGGUGGGCGUCCGGUAGAAACUGGCCGGCUUGGAACCGGAAGACCCAACGGGUACGUCCAGGGUAGGAGUGAAAUCCUGUAAUCCUGGACGGACCGCCGAUGGCGAAAGCACGUCGGGAAGACGGAUCCGACGGUGAGGGACGAAAGCCAGGGUCUCCAACCGGAUUAGAUACCGGGUAGUCC